UUAAGUUAGAAAGGGCGCACGGUGGAUGCCUUGACACUAGGAGUCGAUGAAGGACGGGACUAACGCCGAUAUGCUUCGGGGAGCUGUAAGUAAGCUUUGAUCCGAAGAUUUCCGAAUGGGGAAACCCACCAUACGUAAUGGUAUGGUAUCCUUAUCUGAAUACAUAGGGUAAGGAAGACAGACCCAGGGAACUGAAACAUCUAAGUACCUGGAGGAAGAGAAAGCAAAUGCGAUUUCCUGAGUAGCGGCGAGCGAAACGGAACAUAGCCCAAACCAAGAGGCUUGCCUCUUGGGGUUGUAGGACAUUCUAUACGGAGUUACAAAGGAACGAGGUAGACGAAGCGACCUGGAAAGGUCCGUCGUAGAGGGUAACAACCCCGUAGUCGAAACUUCGUUCUCUCUUGAAUGUAUCCUGAGUACGGCGGAACACGUGAAAUUCCGUCGGAAUCUGGGAGGACCAUCUCCCAAGGCUAAAUACUCCCUAGUGAUCGAUAGUGAACCAGUACCGUGAGGGAAAGGUGAAAAGCACCCCGGAAGGGGAGUGAAAGAGAUCCUGAAACCGUGUGCCUACAAAUAGUCAGAGCCCGUUAACGGGUGAUGGCGUGCCUUUGUAGAAUGAACCGGCGAGUUACGAUCCCGUGCGAGGUUAAGCUGAAGAGGCGGAGCCGCAGCGAAAGCGAGUCUGAAUAGGGCGUUUAGUACGUGGUCGUAGACCCGAAACCAGGUGAUCUACCCAUGUCCAGGGUGAAGUUCAGGUAACACUGAAUGGAGGCCCGAACCCACGCACGUUGAAAAGUGCGGGGAUGAGGUGUGGGUAGCGGAGAAAUUCCAAUCGAACCUGGAGAUAGCUGGUUCUCCCCGAAAUAGCUUUAGGGCUAGCCUUAAGUGUAAGAGUCUUGGAGGUAGAGCACUGAUUGGACUAGGGGUCCUCAUCGGAUUACCGAAUUCAGUCAAACUCCGAAUGCCAAUGACUUAUCCUUAGGAGUCAGACUGCGAGUGAUAAGAUCCGUAGUCAAAAGGGAACAGCCCAGACCGCCAGCUAAGGUCCCAAAGUGUGUAUUAAGUGGAAAAGGAUGUGGAGUUGCUUAGACAACUAGGAUGUUGGCUUAGAAGCAGCCACCAUUUAAAGAGUGCGUAAUAGCUCACUAGUCGAGUGACUCUGCGCCGAAAAUGUACCGGGGCUAAAUACACCACCGAAGCUGCGGAUUGAUACCAAUGGUAUCAGUGGUAGGGGAGCGUUCUAAGGACAGUGAAGUCAGACCGGAAGGACUGGUGGAGUGCUUAGAAGUGAGAAUGCCGGUAUGAGUAGCGAAAGACGGGUGAGAAUCCCGUCCACCGAAUGCCUAAGGUUUCCUGAGGAAGGCUCGUCCGCUCAGGGUUAGUCAGGACCUAAGCCGAGGCCGACAGGCGUAGGCGAUGGACAACAGGUUGAUAUUCCUGUACCACCUCUUUAUCGUUUGAGCAAUGGAGGGACGCAGAAGGAUAGAAGAAGCGUGCGAUUGGUUGUGCACGUCCAAGCAGUUAGGCUGAUAAGUAGGCAAAUCCGCUUAUCGUGAAGGCUGAGCUGUGAUGGGGAAGCUCCUUAUGGAGCGAAGUCUUUGAUUCCCCGCUGCCAAGAAAAGCUUCUAGCGAGAUAAAAGGUGCCUGUACCGCAAACCGACACAGGUAGGCGAGGAGAGAAUCCUAAGGUGUGCGAGAGAACUCUGGUUAAGGAACUCGGCAAAAUGACCCCGUAACUUCGGGAGAAGGGGUGCUCCUUAACGGAAAGCCGCAGUGAAUAGGCCCAAGCGACUGUUUAGCAAAAACACAGCUCUCUGCGAAGCCGUAAGGCGAAGUAUAGGGGGUGACACCUGCCCGGUGCUGGAAGGUUAAGGAGAGGGGUUAGCGUAAGCGAAGCUCUGAACUGAAGCCCCAGUAAACGGCGGCCGUAACUAUAACGGUCCUAAGGUAGCGAAAUUCCUUGUCGGGUAAGUUCCGACCCGCACGAAAGGUGUAACGAUUUGGGCACUGUCUCAACCAGAGACUCGGUGAAAUUAUAGUACCUGUGAAGAUGCAGGUUACCCGCGACAGGACGGAAAGACCCCGUGGAGCUUUACUGUAGCCUGAUAUUGAAUUUUGGUACAGUUUGUACAGGAUAGGCGGGAGCCUUUGAAACCGGAGCGCUAGCUUCGGUGGAGGCGCUGGUGGGAUACCGCCCUGACUGUAUUGAAAUUCUAACCUACGGGUCUUAUCGACCCGGGAGACAGUGUCAGGUGGGCAGUUUGACUGGGGCGGUCGCCUCCUAAAGUGUAACGGAGGCGCCCAAAGGUUCCCUCAGAAUGGUUGGAAAUCAUUCGUAGAGUGCAAAGGCAUAAGGGAGCUUGACUGCGAGACCUACAAGUCGAGCAGGGACGAAAGUCGGGCUUAGUGAUCCGGUGGUUCCGCAUGGAAGGGCCAUCGCUCAACGGAUAAAAGCUACCCCGGGGAUAACAGGCUUAUCUCCCCCAAGAGUCCACAUCGACGGGGAGGUUUGGCACCUCGAUGUCGGCUCAUCGCAUCCUGGGGCUGUAGUCGGUCCCAAGGGUUGGGCUGUUCGCCCAUUAAAGCGGUACGCGAGCUGGGUUCAGAACGUCGUGAGACAGUUCGGUCCCUAUCCGUCGUGGGCGUAGGAAAUUUGAGAGGAGCUGUCCUUAGUACGAGAGGACCGGGAUGGACGCACCGCUGGUGUACCAGUUGUUCUGCCAAGGGCAUAGCUGGGUAGCUAUGUGCGGAAGGGAUAAGUGCUGAAAGCAUCUAAGCAUGAAGCCCCCCUCAAGAUGAGAUUUCCCAUAGCGUAAGCUAGUAAGAUCCCUGAAAGAUGAUCAGGUUGAUAGGUUCGAGGUGGAAGCAUGGUGACAUGUGGAGCUGACGAAUACUAAUAGAUCGAGGACUUAACCAU
Molecule: ribosomal RNA, 2917 nt
Filed under: Bacillus cereus E33L
Lineage: Bacteria; Bacillati; Bacillota; Bacilli; Caryophanales; Bacillaceae
Description: bacterial LSU rRNA
Rfam family: Bacterial large subunit ribosomal RNA
Source: RNAcentral